GGCGGGCCCGGAUGAGGAAGUGAUGUGAGCGGGCUGCGGAGCGGCGAGGAGCGGAGCGGCCGCGGGGUAAACUGUGAAAGACAGUGGGCCUCCAGCUGCCCCCAUGCUCUCAUCUGGGGUGGAAUGUCUCCUUGACUCCUCUGCCUGUACUGGCACUGAGGACCUGCACAAGGGGCUGCCGCUCAGCAUCCCCGCUGGCCUUAUGGCUGUGUCUGAGCCCGGUGCUGGGUUAGAUGCAAAGCCUGAUGUGUCCACACCUGAGCUGGCAUGCAGUAAUGAGCUGUCAUCUGAGCACCACAGGACUUUGGAGGCAAAAGGCUUUGGUGAGGGGGCAGCACAUCUGGAUGAUAUGGUCAGAGAGGUUCACUGGGAGCCAGCAGAACUGCUUACUGAAGAAUUACUGAAUGAUGGAGAUGUUGAAAACAAUGAAGAAAACAAACAAACUCGGAGGAAACAAGACUGUUCUAGUGGUGAACGCCAGCAAGGAGGUAAAGAAGCAAAAGAUGCCGAAGAGGACCACGCUGAAUGCUGUGUUCUAAAUCCUGGGGGAAAAUGGUUAAAACAAGAGGCUCCUCAUCUAAGCAAGCAUGAGGUAAAUUCUUCAGCAACCUGUUGCACCGAAAUAGCAGCAUUUCUGAAGAUCAAAGGAGAAAACCAAGCAAACGUUCAGGUGACAGCUGAAACUCUCCCAAAGCUUACUGAAGAAGCACAAGGUAUGAAGGCUGAUGGGACUAGAAUAUUUAGUAAAGCAGGAUACCAGAAUGGCAGUGUGAGUAAAGGUCUUCCACCUGAGAGCGAUGAAUGCCCAGACACAGACACAGUCAUGGCUAGAGCUGGGGUUUCAGAAACCACCAGGCUAGAUUUCAUAGAGCCUUUAAAAGUUAUGGACGUUGAAUCAACAACAGAACACUCACAAGAAAUAAGUGAAUAUAAUGGGUUGAAAGCCCAUGCUGACAUGUCAUUGAGAACAGAGGGCAAUGUUGUAUCUAUUUUGGAGACUACAGAAGAAAAGUUACCUAGACAAAAUCUUGCUAAUGAAUUCAGUACAUCACUUGAUAAUUGCCAGACUUAUCAGCAGGAAGAAGAAAACAAUACUUGUGACUUCUGUACCGUUCUUCCACCUAGACAUAAUGAACCUGUUAGGUUAUCAUCAGUAGGAAGUUGUAGAAUGCUCUCCAUAAAAAGUUCCCAAGGUAUGUGUUCGGUUCUGGAAAGUGUCUGUUAUCUGGACUUUAGAAAUAUGUCACUAGACAACAACAGUACUGCAAUCCAUGGAAUUAUCAAUGAAACCUCAAAAAAGCAUCUUCCUGAAAGCAUGACAAGUCAGACUAAUUAUGAUCACAGAACUGGAUUUGUAAAGGACUGCAUCUCCAAGUCCAUGCCAGUAGAGCAUCUCUCAGCACUAAGUAACAAAGAAUUAUCUGGUGAUAAAACAGAUGAUGGGGAAACAAAUGAUAGUACAGGUAAAUCAUACAGCUCUGAAUUUGAAGAGGCUGCUGAAAUCCAGAGAGAGAUUGCUGUGGGAGGUAACACUGACGCUCAAGAGAGUGCUCAUUUUGAGCACUGUCAUCCUUCAGUUUUCAGUUCUAUUGCUAUUCAGGAUCUUUCUGUCAAGCAAGAAGAUGAAUCACCUGAGGUACAACUGUUUGAACAGAAAUCUCAGAGUAAUACAAUGUUAGAGUUUUCUGGCAAAGAAACUAAUUUGAUUUAUGCACUAAAUGUACUUCUACCUCCUGUUGCACAAAAAUCAAGAGAGCCUCACUGUGAUGAGUGUCUGUUUUGUACUGCUAAUGAAGCCGCAAGCAAGGACAAGGCUCAGGAUAAUCUAUCUGGAAAAGAAUCAUUUGGUUCUUCUGGGACAACAGAGGAACAAGUUGCUGAAUUUGUGCUGCAUAAAGACAAAUUCAAGUCCUCAAUAAAUCCCAAGGCUUCUGAUGAAUCCAGUAUCACAGGCCACAUUUCCCAGAAGAACAGGAAGUCUUCAGAAGGGAAGGUAGAGAGUGUAGAUGCUGGUUUAGAAAAUGAACAUAGCAACACAUGGAAUUCUAGUAAUCAGACUUUAAAAGACCAGCAUACAGCUGCCACUACUUCCAGUAUCUUAUCAAGUAGUACACCUGUGGAUGAUGCUGUCCUGGAAAGUAAUUUUUUUAAGGCUGAUAUUGAGAUGAAGAUUGAUGAAAAUGAUAGUUCGGAAGGAGAAAUUUCAGGUGGAUAUGGUAGUAAAAAGACAAUCAGUUUUCUGGAAGAACAUUGCCCUUUGUCAUGUAGAUCUCUUCCCUAUCAAGAUGACUGGGGCAACAGAUGCGUAGCUCUGCGUGGGAUAAAUGAUAUUUCCACAGAAAAAAGCAUGUUUUUCCUAACUUACGAUGCAGAGGAGUCUACUGCUACCUUAGUAGGAGAUGACAUUUCAAAUAAGAAUAUGGAAUCUGAAAAUAUGAAACAAUUUAAUCUUUGUAAAUUAACAGAUUGCAGUGAAAUUAUUUGUGACAAAGAUGAGGCAAAAGACCAAUUUAGCGUGUGUGCUGUCCACAGAGAUGAAUUUGAUAAAAUAGGCAAUUGGAGAAGUAAGACUGGUGAACAGCUAUUAGUCAGAAAUUUGAACAAAAAAAAUUAUGUUCAUAAUUUUGAAUUUUGCAACUCUCCAUUACUCCUGAAGAUGAGAGAACUGGGCAUAUCUGGGAAGAAAGGAAUGUCAUCACUCACAGCUAGUUCUGAGUACAGUUUUUCUAUCUGUGGUGCAUGUCCAUUAUUCAACAAUAUGAAUAUGCAAACAAGACGUGCUAUACAAACAGAAAUGACAAUUUCUCCAAUGGAAAAUCAGUUUCUUGCACACCAGAGUGAGGUCUAUGGCCUGGUUCCUGGCAGAAAGCAACAUGUAGAAAGCUUAAACAAAGAGCCAAAUACUGGUUUACAGUAUAUCGCUACUUCUGCAGAGGAAGCUAAACUGUCAAUCAGCUCUAGCCAACAUGAAGAUAUGCUAUUAAAAAAAGGUGAUGACCUGACUCUGAUAGUUCAUAAACAUGUAAGAGAAGAUGGUUUUCAAAGAACUGUAAAAGAGAAUGCAGUGGAUUUUGAGUCUUCAAGUGGUUUAAGAAACACAGACUACUCGGCAUGCACAGGUUUUGUCAGUGAUGUAAUUCAAGAGAAGAUGACAAAACUAAAAGAAAAAGAGAACAGCUGUGGAAGAGAAGAUAAAGGAAUUCAUGAAGAAAGCUUUUUUGAUAGCAAAUCACAAUAUUCACAGCAUGGUUUGGCCAGCAAAUGUGUGAAAGACAAAGCAGAGCUAGUAUUUUCAGGAAAUACAACGCAGCAAUCCUUGGCAAAGAUGAAGUGGUUAACUGGGGACCAAGCAAAUACAGUUAAUAUCUCAUUUUUGCCCUUCUCAUCAAUUCAUGGGAGUCUGUUUUAUAAGCCAAAAAAAAUGCAUGUACUUUCAGAGAUGGAAAACAGAAGUCUGAGAAUAAAGUCUAUCUUAAAUAACUCUUGCUCACAGUUAAUGUUGGAGCCUGGUAAAGAAACUGAUGCUGACAAGGACAUGGGUCCAUCCUGUUUUGUGAAGUUUAACAUCCAGGAUUCUUCUAAUGACACUCACGGGGAUUCAGAAACACUAUCAGCUCUGAACUUAGCUAACUCUUUGCCUCAGAAAGAAAAGUUAUUUGUGUCAUCUGAGAAUACAGGCAUAGAUAAUAGUGAUUCAUCUUCAGAUGAAAUUUGUUGUAAAGGUUCUUCAGUGACAAAACCUCUUUCUGUAACAAUAUACAUUAGGAGAGAAGCUAGCAAUACUGAAAUACAGUCUUCAGAGGAUGAAAAGGCAACUAGCUCUCUGAAAGGUGCAAAAAGUCAAACUGUUUGUGCAUGCAACAAAGAAAGGCAGAGAGUUGAGAGGCAUGGUGUGCUAACUGCAAGAGUCAUGGAUGUGACCUUACUGAAAAGUGCUGAUUGUGGAGAGAAGUUGAAGUAUGCAUGUACAGAAGAGAAGAUGGAAAGAGAAGUGUCUUAUAAAAAAAAGUUGCCCAUACACUCCUUACUUGAUGGAGAAAAUUGCUUAUGGGCCUCGUUAGAAGGUUCAGAAGAGUCUAGUAGUAAAACAGUUACUGUCAGUACUGAGAACUAUGAAAAAGGUUUUGAAGAAAUCCCAAGACCUGACCUAAGCAGUCUUUCAAAGGAAAAAAACGCUACAAAGCCUGCAAGCUUCACUCAUCCCAGUUUACUUUCAGAAGCUGUGCAAGACUGUCAAACUGCAGGUGCAUCUGACACAGAAACUUCACCAGAAUUCAAAUACAAUGAAAUGAACAUGCUGUCAAACAGUUGCAAAGAAUCAUUACCAAAUUAUGUAGCUCAAUGUGAAGUAUGUGUGCCUUACAAAUUAAAUGCACAGAGUAAAGAUAAUACAAAGGAAAUUACAGGAUGUCAAGACGCUAUACCAGCUCAUUCAGUUUCCAUGGAAAAUGAGACUUCAGAUUCAGUGAGAUUUGAUAAAGUAGACAAAUGUCAGGCACGUAAACGAAAGAAAAAGUAUGAGGAGGUGAAAGUGCACGGGUCAGACAAGGCAAAACAAGAAAAGAAGGCAGCAUACAAAGCGAAAGCAAAAGUUGCAGUGCAUCCAAGCAUAUUGUACAGUUCUGAACUUUUAUGCAGUUCUUCAAAUGAGUUGGUGAUGUCAAGAAAUACAAAGUUUGCAAGUCCUUCAAAGGACAUUUUUGUUGUUAGAAGCAGUGAAAAUAAACUGUGUAGCACUUUACAAGAAAUCAAAAGGCCAAAGAUUACCACUGAUACUACUAGUUCACGUUUUUUAAAGACUCAGGAUUCAGAAAUGGAAAACCUGAACCUUAAGUCAGGUUAUAAUGGAAUUCUUGGUGCCUUUGGAACUAGAAAUAAACUAAGAGGACCUCUCCCAUUAAAAAUACAGCCUGGAAGAACAUGCAAAAAAGUUCCCACGUCAUAUCAACUAGAUACUGUAAGAAAAAUAAAAAAAACUAAAAGUUCAACUCUUCUGGAGCCUCCCUUAGAAAUGCCCCCUAAACAGGAAAACACAGUCCUCAAAUCUUUGUACUUUGCCUAUAAAUCACCAACAGUGAAAAAGGAAAUAGCCAUGAGAUUUGUCCAUAUGCCAAGGCAGAAGGCCAAGAGGUGCAGUUUGCUGAGCAGCUUGAAAUUCAGAAAAUGUACCAAAGAACCAGCAUUACUGAGCAAGCUGUCUGCAAUAGCCAGCAAAUUACUGGUACCUGCCACAAGCAUCCAUACCUUGGAAUCUCUGCCGUAUUCUUCUGAAAUUCUUCCAGUGGCUGCGAGGUACAGCCAACGUAGAUCUAAAAAUCUAUUGGAAGCUUUCUCUUGCAUUAACAGGAACUUACACUCACGCUGGGCUGACAGUUGGUGUACCAAGAUGUUCAGCUUUCAAUCUUUGGCACUUUAUUCAGUAGGAUCUACCAAAAUACCUUCUUUAGAGUCGAGCAACAAUUCUCCAUCGUCUUUCUUGAAUACCCCAGUGUUCCCAAUUUCUUUUCACAUAAAAUUGGACUCCAGUCCUGUGACAGACCUCACACGGACUACAUCUCAGCACUCUGUACAUCACCGACUGGUUUUGGAAGAAAUGCCUGCACCACCUUCAAAGUGGACUUUCCUCCUUUCUCAGAGCUGUUCAGAUGCAACAGCAAUCAAGGAAGAUUCCAGUCAAGAUCAUGAGCUGCAUGCCCCUCUCUCUGUAACAACCCCAGAGGUUGUUGCACUUCAUCCUGAUCACAGAAGAAAUGCCAUAGCUAAAAGAACAGGAAGUUGCUCCAUGCUUGGCCUUCAUACCGUGUUAGCACUUUCUUCACCUGGAUGUUACAGGAUUUGGACGAGAAGAAGAAACUUAACCAGUCAUAUUCCUACCAUCCAGAGACUAUUUAUAUCCCAAUUUAACCAGGGUCUGAAAGGGGCAUCUAAUGUAUCAGAUGACCUGGUCUCUUCCCUACCGUACUCCUUGGGCAGGGCGCUAUCCAUAUGGAGUCAGCAUGGUCCUUCUGCCCGUCCCUCCGAAAUCACUCCUCUUCAUUCCAGUCACUGCAAGUGGCAGCCAAGUGUGGGCAUCGAGAACAGAAUAUAUAAUGCAGAAAGGUGAGCUACUUCAUUAGGUCUUUUCAGAGUGACUGCAGAACAACUGGAUUUCUGAGGUAGGAGAGUUUUUUUCAGAGGUCUGACCCACAAGUUUCACUUGAACCACUAUAAAAUAUUGAAUAUCAGAUUAAGAAGAACCUAAUUGGGGCGGGGCGGGAAUUCAGUUAAAUCUUUAUUUGUAUUCCAUGACUGUUCUGUGCUAAUUGAAACCUCUUUACGUGUACUGUGCCUUUGAUAGUGUGUGCCAGAUGUAUUGAAUUGUUGGCACACGCAACCCUAGCUCCAUUUCAGGCCGGUGAGGAAUUUUGGUGUGUCUGUCCAUCUCAAUAUGAGUGGGAAGAGCACUGAUGUCUACUUUGCAUAUUUCAUUUAACUUUCCUAACUGAAUUUGAAAUCUUUUUGCUGAGAAACAGACUAAAAGAAGAGGUUCCUAGUGCUGGUAUGAGAUUUUUGCAUGCUCUUGUGCAAACUUUUCACCCAUUACGUCUCAGUUACUGCUACCUGAGACACAGGACAGUUCAGUCCCUGAUCUUGCAGUCUUGAGAUUCCUGGACAGACUGUAAGUUCAUAAAUCCGUUUCAUUAACUCUUGUGUUUAAUGUGGCAGUCUGUCAAGAACUGUUGAAUUUGACUUUUAUAUAAUUAAUACUGCAUUUUACUUUGCAUAAGUGGAGAAAAUACCUGUAAGUUUAUCACUUGCUAGUAUAAAUUCUCAUUUCUACUAGAAAGAUUUGAGUAAGAGUAUGAAAUAACUGCUCCAUUUUGUGAGUUCUCUGCACUAAAAGAUAGAAUUUGAAUAAUGAUUCAGAGACAACUUUGCAGCAUAUUCUACAAGACCUGGUUUCUUUUUUUUGCCCCACAUGAGGCAAUAUUUCAGGCUGAAUUUUCUAGUGUACAAAUUAGUACUUUGGAAGUGAUCACACCAGUAAACACUAAGGUUUGAGCAAUUGGCUUAAAAUAAGACAGCUAUUUUGCUGUGAAUUACUUUUUCCUGAAGAAGAGAAGACAAGUGAAAUCUUAUCACUCUAUGUGAAAAAUGCCCAAAGUUAAAGUAGCAUAAAGCGCAGUUUGUUUUUUCUUCUUAGAUAUUUGAAAGGAAUUGAUGUAUCUGUCUGGGUACACUUAAUGCUUCUGGCCCACUUGGGUUUUCUUUAAAGUUAAUUUACUGUAGUGAAUUUAAGGCAAUAAGUCUGAAAGAAUGUUUCCAGAAUUGUAAGGAAAUGUAGAAAGUGAAUUCUAAUUUCUAAAAUAAUUGCACAAAAAGUAUAAUCAAAGGAUUUGGAUAUAAAAUAAUUGAAAGAAAAAAAAUAACCUUUAAAUAUAUUACACCAUUUUAGAUUCUGUUUUGCUAGAAAUUGAUAGCUUGUUCUCAUCAACUAAUAAUUCUUCUAAACAUAUUAACAGAAACAGUGGCAAAAGGAUAAUUCAGUAAUCUCCCUUAAAUUUGUUUACUCAAAAUCUGUAUGAUUGCAUAGAAAUAAAUAUAGAAAAUAUGUAUACCAUAUGUAAGAAAUUCUGGCUUAUAAAUACAGAAAUACAAGAAAGUGAAUUUGGUGCAGCAUGGAAGCAUUUUCAGCGCAGCUGAUUAUUUUUUAUUCUGUAGCAUUCCAGUCUGGCUGUAAUUUCGUUACGUCAGUACAUUCAGUACAUUUAGCUGCUAGUUUGGAAGAGCAGCAAGUACAAGAUUUGCUGUUUGAGGUAAUAAAAGCUGUUCCAGCUUACUCCUUUUUUUAUUGCUGUUAAUAGUAUGGACACAAAGUAAAGUUUAAUGUUAAAGGACCUAGAGCUGAUGUGCUGAUCUUUAUUAUUUUUUUACACCAUAGAUAUUACCAAACCUUAUGGAAGGGCCUCUGGUUAUUCUCGUUAAGUGUAUUCCAGUAACACUGUGGGAGUUAGAGACAGUAGAGAGACAAUUUAAUGAAAAUCCUUCUUUGCACUUUCUGCUGUUCCACCAUGCCCUUUUUUAUUUAGUAGAAAAAUUAUCCAUUAUUUUUGUUUGAUUUUAAAAGUUGUUUUUUAAUAAGGAAUCUAGACUUAAAUAGCAUUAGUUCAAGCAUUAGCUCAAAAAUUGCAAUUAUUUGUCUCCUUCUCUCUGUAUUUUCAUUUCCUUUUUCUUACUACUACAUUGUUAAGUGGAAGUAGAACUAUUUCCCUACCAAGCUAUCAGGGAAAUCUAGUUAUUAGCAGGCUAAGUGACAGAUGUGGUUUGCUACUGUAUUGCUCUUGCUACUACUUCUUACCCUUUCCAUUCCCAACAUUAGCAUUUUUUGUCUUACAGUCCAGAUAAUAUUAAGAAUAUUUUAACCCUUUUUUUUUUUUUUUUUUUAUAAUGUAGGUCUAACUUCUCUCUCUCUGUUUUUUUUUUUGUCUGUUGAACCAGCUAUGCCAUAUUACCACACUUACCUGUACAGGGUAUGGAAGCACUACAGACUGCAGGCCAUGAGAUAUGUCUGGAACCUCCAUUCCCUCUUCCACUACCAAACUCUUGCUUGCUUUCGGAAGCAUUGCCCCCUAUGCUUCCAGAACCUGAACUUCAGGUCCAUGCCCUUGAUGAAGCAGAUACUUCCAUUCCAGACUGUUUGAGAUCCCAAGAUGACACAGAACUGAAAAAAACUGAGCCAGAAAAGAGGCCAAAGAAAGUCUCACAGAUCCGAAUCAGGAAAACUGUUCCUAGGCUAGAUCAUAACCUUACUCCAAUGGGACUACCCAAACCAAAAAGGCUUAAGAAGAAAGAAUUUAGUCUAGAAGAAAUUUACACAAACAAGAACUACAAGUCCCCACCUCCAGCCAGGAGCUUGGAAACAAUCUUUGAAGAGCCCAAGGAAAAAAAUGGACACUUGAUUUCUGUCAGCCAGCAGAAGAGAAAGCGGAUUCUGGAGUUUCAGGACUUCACUGUUCCUCGAAAGAGAAAGGCACGAGGCAAAAUCAAAGCAGUGGGAAGUUUCACUCGAGCAAAAAAAGCUGCACCACAGAGUGCAGAGUUAGAUGCCCUUCUGAGUCAGAAGCUAAUGGACCUUGAAGAAUUUUUUGCAAAGGAGGAUGAGCAGGAGUUGUCUUCUAGCACUGGAGGGAGCCAUGAGCUGAAAAUGGUCCAGUGAGCUACUUUAGUAUGUAUCUUAGUCCUGUUGGGAGAAAUCUACUGAUUUCUUCAUACCUUACUCUACCACUCUCUUGUAAUAUCUGAUGAUCAAGUAUUGGCUGUGACCCACUAAGGUGCUAUUUAAUCUUUUUUUUUUUUUUUCUUUUUUGCUACUGGAGGGAUUCUCAUAGGGUCACGUGUGACUUAGCAUUCCUUCCCCAACCCCUGGAAGUUAUGGCUAACAUUUAGUUCUGUUUCAAGACCUUUCGAGGGGAGAGUGGUGGGAGUAUCAGGGAGGAAGUAGCGCACCUCCCAUGAUGCUGGGACUCUGUACUCCAAAAUCUUUGCACAUUGAAUUUGCUGUUACUACUGUAAUGGCUUUUUGAACAAUAUGACAUCAGAGUAUGUGGUGUUUGGUAAAGAUAAAUUUUAGCCAACACAUCCUUGAUAAUACCACUAAAUUUUUAAUAAUUAAAAAUAGCAUUCCUACCUUACUUUCAAUUAUUUCUUCCUUCUGUUUAUUUAGAAGGUUCCUUACGAAUUUCUAUGCCCUUCCUGGCUUCAGGCAGCAGAAGUUCCACAUAACUAGACUUUAAUGAACUUGCACUUUGUAUAUCCUUAUUUGCAGCACGAGGACCCCUUUUAACACGACUGAGAUUACAAAACAAAAAAAUAAGUAAUACUGUCAGAAAAGAUGAUGCCCACUGCUAUUUUUUCCUAAAUAGUGAGUUUUUGCCAAAUUGGCUGAUGCUUUAUACCCCUUCUCCAGAUGCAAAUCCUAUGAGUAUGUUAAGCCAUAGGGUAUGCAGGUAGAGCUUUUUAUUAGCUGAGCUGAGCUGCUGCAUACAAGAAGCACCAGCAAAACCUUUGAGACUCAUUCUGAAGCAAUUUUCAUUUCAGGAAAUAUAAUCAGCUUGAUUUUAACAUCCACUUUAGGUUUGUAAUUCAGAUAGCUCCCAACUAGAUAUUCUGUGUACAGCACUGUUUUAUGCAAUAGCUAGUGUUGUACAAAGAGCCUCCUAGCAUGUGUAAAAUAUUUUUUUUCAUUAAGUGAGACCAUUUGUCAUUAGAUGAUGCAGCACUGGGCAGUUCUCAGCCAUAAGUUUUAAGAGAAGAGCGCUCGCUUCUGGGAUAACUUCUGUUAAACUUACUUGAAGAGUAAUUCAGAAUGAAUGCUAGCUGCAGUACAGGUAAUUUCUGUCCUCUAGUGCCUAUAGAAGUUAUUCAUGUGAAGCUGUCUUUGCUGGGAUGCUCAAAUUUAACUAGUUUAUUCUUUCAUUUGUCACUUAAAACUUGCACUUUCUUAGUUACCUAUCCAUAUAAUAAAGUUUAUAUUCACAUUCAGAAUAAGCAAGUAUCUAGGGGGCAGGUAUUUUGAUAAAGUCCCAAUAAAUGAAGAACUGAAAAUACCAUCGCUAUCUUCUGCUGCCCUGCAUUUCGGUUACUGGCCUAGCAGAAAACUCAGAAUUAACAAGUAAUCUGUUGAAUUCCAGAGUUUGGAAAGUGGAGAGAUGGAAGAAGAAUAUUACAUUCUCUGUGCCUGAAUCUUGAAAUAAAUGUAUUCUGGGUUUGUUUUGCUCUCAGUUUAUAUGCUGGGAUUAAUGACAGUUUACAUUCUUGUUUUGGAGGCUGAUUAAUCAGGAAGACUCAGGAAAAGAGAGAGGUGCAGACUUAGAGUAGUGGUAAUUUGGAUUUUGAGGAUAAAAUAACAAGGUAGGUAAACUUUGAACAUACUGACACGCUGUUUCAGCGGCAAGGUCUGGUUAACCUAAUUGAGCUGCUGGGGAACAUUUUAAUUGAUCUUAUUUUUAUAGAAAUCCCUAAAAAUUAAAAAAAAAAAAAAAAAGGUCAACUACCUUUCAAAAAAUAUUUGAAACUUUCUCUAUGUUCGCUUAUUACCCAAAUAUUGACUGGAUGGAAGCUGUUGCAAGAGUGAUAUAUAUAUACACAUAUAGAUAGAUAUAUUUUUAUGGUUUUAUGCUGUAGAAUGGGAUUAUGACACAGUGUUAAUUAACCUUCUGUUAAAAUGGAAGGCUUUUACUGUUGUGAUAGAAUUGAGCUGUAACCUCACUGGGGCUUUUAAGAAAACAGUAUGGGUGAGAGGGAGGGAAUUGGGUCCAAGCAAAGUUCAAGCUUCGGAUGUGCUUCAAAAUAUGGAACUUUUGUGGGUUUUUUUUUUUUUUUUUUUUGUCUGCUUACUUGCUCUGUCUUGUUUCUAAUUAAUUGCUUUGAAAUAACACUUCUUAACUUUUUAAUAGUUAUAGCAGAGGGGGCAUAAGAAAGAAAACACUUGAUCCCCUUUUAUUUACAAUAAUUGGAGGAGUAAGAAAAUGAUGUAGCAGUUGCCUAGGUUGUCCCAGACCUUAGGGUCUAUGGAUUAUUCUGAUUUGGUUUUAUAUUUUUAUGAUAGAGUUGUAAGCUAAUUGAGACAAAGCAUCUUUUUUUCUUCCUCCCUACAUCCUCCUCAGGAACAGAUAUCAGUCAUGUAUGUGCACUUUUUUUCCUCUCCCACUUCUGUCCCUACUUACAACACUCAUGGAACAACCUCGUUCCCUGUGGCUGUUCUUUGUACACUGGGAGUGAUGAUGGUGCAAAGGUAGGUAACUGCCACUCUGAGCUGCUUCUGUCUCAGAUUUUUGAAGGAAGAAAAUACAGAGAAUGUAUGUUUGGGAGUCUUAAAUACUUCCCUUGCGGAAGAAUAUGUACAACUCUCUUUUCAUAGAGAGAGCCUACUCCAGUAAUUUUUUUCUUUGUAACAUCAUGGAAAGAUAUUUGUACAUAUUGCUCACAGAAUGAUGUCCAGAGCAGCUUGAGAAGAAAUACAAAGCUUUUGACAUGUACCAUCACAUAGCAGUUGUUUUUCAGAGACAGGCAGCUUUUUUUACUAAAUUUGCUGAUUAUGAGGGUUAGAUUUUUUUUUUCUUAAAAACAUAAAAUCUUAUUUUCAUCAUGCUGCAACUGAAGCAGCUAAGACUACUUAAUGUACAUUAGAAAGUUUGCCUGCCUGGCCUUGUAGCUGCAUACAUUUGAGUUCUAAUGCUUGCUGGGUAUGAUCUUCUGCAAGCAGUUCUCAUUUAUUGCAUUUCAUAUGGGUUGGGCCUUUGGUAUAUUGUGUUCCAGGUGCUCUUCUAGGAUAUGGAUGCUAACUGUGGAUUAAAUGUCUAUAUGAUGCUAUCAUGUCAACAGAUAACUCAGUGAGAGUUUGUACGCCUGUGCCAUUAGCCUCCGUCAAGCUCUUGGCAUUUUAUUUGUUCAAUUUUGUGUGAAUUUAAAAUUUUACUGUUUCUUUUGUGUGUGUUUUUAAUUUAUGGAAAUAAAUUUUUCUGAGAACCUU
This is an RNA transcript of Gallus gallus (chicken), 12511 nucleotides long. It is a transcript of the gene named proline rich 14-like, with no coding region annotated. The record is from RefSeq and is a predicted model, not a curated record. Lineage: Eukaryota; Metazoa; Chordata; Aves; Galliformes; Phasianidae. The transcript has 9 exons.